RNAcentral lists this ribosomal RNA (451 nucleotides) under uncultured bacterium. Its description in RNAcentral is "partial 16S ribosomal RNA". It matches the Rfam family "Bacterial small subunit ribosomal RNA", at positions 28 to 523 of the family's 1533-position model. The record is from RNAcentral.
GAUGAACGCUGGCGGCGUGCCUAACACAUGCAAGUCGAGCGAGACCUUCGGGUCUAGCGGCGGACGGGUGAGUAACGCGUGGGAAUAUGCCCUUCGGUUCGGAAUAGCCCCGGGAAACUGGGAGUAAUACCGGAUACGGUCUACGGACGAAAGAUUUAUCGCCGAAGGAUUAGCCCGCGUUGGAUUAGGUAGUUGGUGGGGUAAUGGCCUACCAAGCCGACGAUCCAUAGCUGGUUUGAGAGGAUGAUCAGCCACACUGGGACUGAGAUACGGCCCAGACUCCUACGGGAGGCAGCAGCAAGGAAUUUUCGUCAAUGGGGGCAACCCUGAACGAGCAACGCCGCGUGGGCGAAGAAGUCCUUCGGGAUGUAAAGCCCUUUUCCCUCUGGAGAGCGAAAGACGGUAGGAGGGGAAUAAGCAUCGGCUAACUACGUGCCAGCCGCCGCAGUAA